RNAcentral lists this ribosomal RNA (440 nucleotides) under uncultured bacterium. RNAcentral describes it as "bacterial SSU rRNA". It matches the Rfam family "Bacterial small subunit ribosomal RNA", at positions 338 to 795 of the family's 1533-position model. The record is from RNAcentral.
CCUANGGGUGGCAGCAGUGGGGAAUCUUGCGCAAUGGGGGAAACCCUGACGCAGCGACGCCGCGUGGAGGAUGAAGGUCUUCGGGUUGUAAACUCCUUUUCUUGGGGAAAAUGAUGAUGGUACUCAAGGAAUAAGCCACGGCUAACUCUGUGCCAGCAGCCGCGGUAAGACAGAGGUGGCGAGCGUUGUUCGGAAUUACUGGGCUUAAAGGGCGAGUAGGCGGUAGAGCAAGUCUGAGGUGGAAUCCUAUGGCUUAACCAUAGAACUGCCUUAGAAACUGCUUUACUUGAGUCAGUGAGGGGAGGGCGGAAUUCCUGGUGUAGCGGUGAAAUGCGUAGAUAUCAGGAGGAAGGCCUGUGGCGAAAGCGGCCCUCUGGCACUGUACUGACGCUGAGGCGCGAAAGCGUGGGGAGCAAACAGGAUUAGAUACCCGUNUANUC